Molecule: long non-coding RNA, 3833 nt
Filed under: Salmo salar (Atlantic salmon)
Lineage: Eukaryota; Metazoa; Chordata; Actinopteri; Salmoniformes; Salmonidae
Description: lncRNA (ENSSSAG00000086464.1)
Source: RNAcentral
UCAAGGAGCGAGACUCUAACCUAGAAAACUAUAAGAAAUCCUGCUGUGCCCUCCGACGAACAAUCAAACAGGCCAAGCGUAACGGGACUAAGAUCGAAUCGUACUACAACGGCUCCAACGCUUGUCGGAUGUGGCAGGGCUUGCAAUCUAUUACAGACUACAAAGGGAAGCACAGCCGAGAGCUGCCCGCUGACACGAGCCUACCAGACGAGCUAAAUUACUUCUAUGCUCGCUUCAAGGCUAGUAACACUGAAACAUACAUGAGUGCAUCAGCUGUUCCCGGACGACUGUGGUAUCACGCUCUCCGCAGCCGAUGUAAGACCUUUAACAUCUGGUCAGAAGGUAUGCCACCGACCUAUUCCUGAUCAGGGAAGAGCGGGGGCUGAUAUCCCAGGGAACACUCAAACGGUGAUAGGCCUGUGGCAGAGCAGGGAAGGGUGUUGCGGGCGUAUUCCACCCACGCCAGCUGCUGGCUGCAGGUGGUGGGGUUGGCGGAGACCAUCCAGCACAGAGUUGUCUCAAGGUCCUGGUUGGCUUGCUCUGACAGGCCAUUAGACUGGGGGUGGAACCCAGAGGACAGGCUGGCCGAUGACCCAAUGAGGGUGCAGAAUGCCUACCAGAACUGGGAUGAGAACUGAGGCCCGCGGUCGGAGACCAUGUCCACGGGCAGUCCAUGGAUCCGGAAGACGGGCUGCAUCAUGAGUUGGGCAAUCUCCUUGGCAGAGGGUAACUUGGGGAAAGGAAUGAAGUGGGCGGCAUUGGAAAAGCAAUGCACCACGGUCAGGAUGGCGGUGUUACCAUCAGACGGUUGAAGACCCGUGACAAAGUCCAGGGAGAUGUGAGACCAGGGGCAAUGAGGGAUGGCAGAGGUUGGAGGAGGCCAUCCAGAGCUUGUCGAGGUGUCUUGUUCCGUGCACAGACCGUGCAGGCAGCGACAAAUGCGGCGAUGUCGGGAACCAUGGUAGGCCACCAACAUCCGGUUAUCUGGCCCCCCAAUGUUUGGCUGGGACCGCUGCGCCUCCCGUACCUGUUUCCUGAUACCCCAGCUGAGUGCCUUCACCAGGCACGAGGUUGGAAGGAUGGUUUCGGGCUCCGGGGUGGUAGCCGUGGGGUUAUAGCGGCGAGACAGGGCAUCCGGCUUGACGUUCUUGGAACCAGCCGGUAGGAGAGGGAAACGUUGAACCGGGUAAACAGCAGGGCACAUCUCGCCUGUCUGGAGUUGAGGCGCUUGGCGGUACGGAGGUACUCCAGGUUUUUGUGGUCGGUACACACAAUGAACGGAUGUUCUGCCCCGUCGAGCCAGUACCUCCAUUUCUCCAAUGCCAUCGUCACCGCGAGAGGCUCCUGAUUCCCCACACCAUAAUUCCUCUCCGUAGCAUUGAGGCGGUGGGAGAAGGCGAAGAGAUGCAGCUUAAGGUCCAUGGCAGAAUGUUGGGACAGGACAGCCUCUACUCCGACAUCCAAAGCAUCGGCCUCCACUACGAACUGAUGGGAAGGGUCCGAUGAACCAGGAUCGGAGCCGUGGUGUUUAAAGUCAGCGACCGUGGACCACGUGAAUGGAACCUUGGCAGAGGUGAGGGCAGACAGGGGGGAGGCCAUGGUGCUGUAACCCCAGAUAAAGCGGUGAUAAAAGUUGGCGAACCCCAGGAUGCGUUGCAGCUGCACCCUGGACGUAGGCUGAGGCCAAUCCACCACCGCGGGAGAAGAUGAGGAUGUCAUCAAGGUAGACAAAGACGAACGGUUCAGCAUGUUGUCUAGAACGUCAUUCACCAAAGCCUGGAACACGGCAGGGGCGUUGGUGAGACCAAAGGGCAUGACCAGAUAUUCAUAGUCGCCACUGGACAUGUUGAAGGUGGUCUUCCACUCGUCCCUCUCUCGUAUACGCACCAGGUGGUAGGUGUUUUCGUAGAUCCAGCUUGGAAAACACCGUGGUCCCCUGGAGCAGCUCGAAGGCCGAGGAAAUGAAUGGUAGCGGAUAACGGUUCUUCACUGUGCACGGGCACAGGAUCAUGUCCUUCUUCUCCAUGAAGAAAAACCCUGCACCAGCGGGAGAGGAGGAGGGACAGAUAAAUCCUGUAGCUAGGGAGUCCCCAAUGUAGUUCUCCAUAGCCUUGGUCUCUGGUCCCGACAGCGAGUACAGACGUCCCCGGGGCGGCGUGAUACUAGGGAGAAGGUCAAUCCCACAGUCAUAGGGGCAGUGCGGCGGAAGGGAAGUGGUCCGGGCCUUACUGAACACCUCCCGGAGAUCCUGGUACUCCGUGGGAAUGGCAGAGAGGUCUCGGCUCCAACUCCGAGGAUCCAGGAAGAUGUCUCGGGGCAGGUUGCGCCAAUUUCAGACUAUGGGCAUGGCAGAACGGACUCUAGCCCAUGAUAGCCCACAUAGACCAGUCGAUGAGUGGAUGGUGUCGCUGGAGCCAGGAGAAUCCCAACACCACAGGAAUCUUGGGGGACUUGAUGAGCACGAACUGAAUGGUCUCGCUGUGAUUCCCUGACACAUGUAGGUUGAUGGGAGUGGUGGUAUGGGUGACCUGACCUAUAGAGCGCCCGUCCAGUGCUCUAACAUCCAUGGGAAUGGAGAGGGGCUGAGUGGGGAUGUUCAGCUCGGAAGCCAGUGUGGCGUCCAAAAAGCUCUCAACGGCCCCAGAGUCAAUGAGAGUACUCGCUCCCUGGUGAGACUGGUCCUUUACCAGGCACAAGGACACAAAAUGACCAAAAGUCCCGCAAUACAGACAGCUCCUUGUGCUGAUCCUGUGUUGCCUUUCCGCUGGCAACAGCCCAGCUCUGCCCAGUUGAAUGAGCUCCGGAAACAGUGCCUCUGCCCGCUUCGGUGACUCUCGAGGAAGGUCAGAAAACCUUGGGUGCUCUCGGCCACGGGACCGUCGGGGACUUACAGCAUGGCUCAGAGACGAGGUGGAAUCCCUGGACAUGCGAGUGACGUCGAAUUCUCUCUCCAUCCGUCGUUCCUGCAAUCGGCCAGCAAUGCGGAUGGUCAAAGCAAUGAGGGAGUCAAGAUCCGUGGGCAAUUCCCAAGCUGCAAGCUCGUCCUUAACCUCCUCCGAGACACCGUGCAGGAACAUGUCGAACAAUGCUUCCGGGUUCCACACACUCUCCGCUGCCAACGUGCGGAAAUCCACCGUAUAGUCUGCAACUGUGCAGGCGUCCUGCCGGAGCUCGAAUAGCUUCCAGGCAGCUUCUCUCCUGGAGAGCAGGGCAUCAAAAUCCUUCCUCACCUCCCCCACGAACCCCUCCAUGCUCACACAUAUGGUCGGCUGCUGUUCCCACACAGCGGUAGCCCAGGUGAGAGCCCUUCCAGACCAGAAUGAUGAGGUAAGCUAUUCUAGAGCAAUCCGAGGGGAAGGAGGAGGGCUGAAGCUCAAAAAUGAGGGCACACAGCUAAAAACGCCCGACAGAUGCUCAGCUCUCCAUUAAAGCGUUCUGGGGUACGUAAUCGGGGCUCCCGAGAAGCUGGAGUGGCCAGUGGGGCGGCGCUACUGAGAGGUGGUGGGGUUGCCACCUUGGCAGGCUGCCCCCCAGCCAACCCGUGGAAUUGCUCCUGCAGCAUGUCCAACGCCCGGUCAUGGUGCUCAGCCAACAUUUGGACCCCCUCCAUCAGCCCAUGAAGCAAAUCCUCAUGCCUACCAAUGGAGGCUCCUUGGGAGGAAAUGGCGUUGCACAGUUGGCCCGGGUCUGCUGGGUCAGUCAUGGCCAGUUCGUACUAUCAGGUAUGAAGUCCUCCCGGUUUUGACCCUUGCCUGUUCUGGACUCUGUACCCGCCUGCCUGACCAUUCUGCCUGCCCUGACCUCGAGCCUGCCUGCCACUCUGUACCUCCUGG